This is a long non-coding RNA of Nerophis ophidion (straightnose pipefish), 2829 nucleotides long. RefSeq lists it as uncharacterized. The transcript has 3 exons. Lineage: Eukaryota; Metazoa; Chordata; Actinopteri; Syngnathiformes; Syngnathidae. The record is from RefSeq and is a predicted model, not a curated record.
ACACGCCCGAUGAAAGCGUGUCGCUCGGAACCCACGCUGAUAAAAGAUCAUAACCGACUAUUCCAUUUCUGAAAAGAAGCCGCGCGCUGACACCGGCAGUGGUGCGUUCACAGAAACAAACCGAGGAAUGCAAUUGUUGACACGUCCUAUUUGCCUUUGUCACGCAGUUCUGUUUCCAGAAGGAUACACACGCCGACAACAUCUCAGCGGUUUCACAUUUUGUAUGAAAAACAACCUUAUGUCGGACUUGUGUUGGGUUUGUGUGGAGUGGGAAUUAGUUUUUUGGCACCACUUAUGGGUAUUUUUUUCAAUUUUUUAAAGUAAGUUGAAUGAUGCAGACUGUGACGUUUGGCUGGUAUUGUGGUGUGGUUCUUGUUCUUUCGUGGAUGCAGUCGGAGAAAGGACACAGCGUGAAGCAACGUGUGGAGAGACAGAGCCGACGGGCAGACAGCGGGGUAGGGUAAUCCAUGGUCCUACUCAAGAUGGCAGCCAGGAGGCGGAGUAUGCAGCGGAACGGAGAGGGGAGAAGGAGGAGCAAUCGGGGCACAAGGAGUAGGAGAACCAGCAGAAGACCUGACGAGCAAAACCACCGUGAGCCACGGAGCGACAGCGACCAGCACAGGAAAGACGUGUAAGGAGACCGGCGCGAGCAGCGGAGGUGGAGCUGAAAGAGCGACCGACCGACAUGCGAGCAGCUUUAAUGGUAAAUAAAGAGUCAAACCUGUGCGAAGCGAUGUCGUUCCUGUAUGGUCCACGUAACCUGCACGAUGGCGGCAGGAAGCCGUUCACAGUGGCACCCAACGUGGGAGGACCAUCGGAGGCGGGGGAGAACAACUUCCUCUGGACACUCGUCGCGGAGUUCAGCAAACUGGCAGAGAAAAAAACGUCAGAGUUGCCGGCUUCUGCAGGCACUGGUGGACCAGAUUGGGGGAGGCGGCGAGUGCCCCCACAAAGAGGAAGUCAAGUAGAAUUCCAGGGAAGUCUGGGCUGAAACCUCCUACCUGGAAGUCGGGGCUGGGCAGGUUGCAGUGGCGUCUGCAGACCAGCAGGGCGAGCUGUCGGCCAAAGAGAGGGAGGACGAACUCGCCCUGCAAGAAAAUGAUGAAGAUGAAGAAGAAGUUAAAGAAGAAGUUGAAACUCAAGAAAUUGAGAAAGAAAAAAUACUUGAAGAAAUUCAGGAAAAUGAUGAAGAUGAAGAAGAAGUUGAAAAUGAAGAAGUUGAAGAAGAAAAAGUUGAAACUAUAGAAAUUGAGAAAGAAGAAGAAAUACUUGAAGAAAUUUAGGAAAAUGAUGACGAUGAAAAAGAAGUUGAAGAUGAAGAAGACGGGGAAGAAACUCAAGAAAUUGAGAAAGAAGAAGAAAUACUUGGAGAAAUUCAAGAAAAGGACAAAGAAGAAGUCAAAGAGGGCAAAGAAAAAGUCAAAGAAAUUGAAGUUCGAGAAGAAAAAGAAAAAGGCAAAGAAAAAGGCAAAGACAAAUAAGACAAAAAGGAAAAGAUAGAGAAAAAGGAAGAGACAAAGGAAAAGACGAAGAAGGUAAGGAGAAGGCAGGUGGCCGGGGAAGUUUUUUUUCCCCCGCUCCCUCAGAAAAGAAAGGGGGGAGUAUGCUCAGCCGGACUGAAGCCCGGCUUGAGUUUGGCGAUGGAGAACUGUGGAGAGACGAAGCCGAUGGGCAGACACCGGGGUAGGGAAAACUGUGGUCCUACUGAAGAUGGCGGCCAGGAGGCGGAGUAUGCAGCGGAACGGAGGGGCGUGCCUGGAGCGACGCUGCAGCAAUCAGAAUCAGGUGGGUAACACACACACACCGGCUCUAAAUCUGGGCAUCUCCUCCUGCUGUAUAAAAGGGGAGAAGGAGGAGAAAUCGGGGCAGAAGGAGUAGGAGAACCACCAGAAGACCUGACGAGCAAAACCACCGAGAGCCACGGAGCGACUGAGACCAGUACAGGAAAGAUUCGGACGACUGAAAAGGAGACCGGCGCGAGCAGCGGAGGUGGAGCUGAAAGAGCGACCGACCGACACUGCGAGUUUUGAUUGAUUGAUUGAUACUUUUAUUAGUAGAUUGCACAGUACAGUACAUAUUCCGUGCAAUUGACCACUAAAUGGUAACACCCGAAUAAGUUUUUCAACUUGUUUAAGUCGGGGUCCACGUUAAUCAAUUCAUGGUAAAGCAGCUUUAUUAAAAAAUAAAGGGUCAAACGAUGGCGGCAGGAAGCCGUUCACACAACGUUUAUUCAAUGUCAGGUUACGGCAUUUAUUUGACCUUUGAAAUUUGGUCCUUUUCCAACCAAUAUUUGACAACACAAAUAUAACAUUGAAACAACAUGCCUUUUGACGACGUUUAAAUCAAUGUUGGGUUCUCGCAUUAAUUUGAACUUUGAAAUUUGGUCAUUUCCCAAACAAUAUUCUACAAAACAAAUGUAUCGUUGAAAAAACAUGCUUUUGGACGACGUUUAUUCAAUGUCAGGUUGUGACGUUGAUUUGACCAUCAAAAUUUGGUCAUUUCACAACCAAUAUUCUACAACACAGAUACAACGUUGAAACAAAAUACUUUUUGACGUUUGUUUAAUGUCAGAUUGUGACGUUAAUUUGACCAUUGAAAUUUGGUUAUUUCGCAACCAAUAUUCUACAACACAAACACAACGUUGAAACCACAUGCUGUUUGACAACAUUUAAAGGCCUACUGAAAUGAGAUUUUCUUAUUUAAACGGGGUAGCAGGUCCAUUCUAUGUGUCAUACUUGAUCAUUUCGCGAUAUUGCCAUAUUUUUGCUGAAAGUAUUUAGUAGAGAACAUCCACGAUAAAGUUCGCAACUUUUGGUCGCUAAUAAAAAA